This 459-nucleotide ribosomal RNA is filed under the name uncultured bacterium. RNAcentral's name for it is "partial 16S ribosomal RNA". It matches the Rfam family "Bacterial small subunit ribosomal RNA", at positions 338 to 795 of the family's 1533-position model. The record is from RNAcentral.
CCUACGGGUGGCAGCAGUGAGGAAUAUUGGUCAAUGGGCGAGAGCCUGAACCAGCCAAGUCGCGUGAGGGAGUACUGCCCUAUGGGUUGUAAACCUCUUUUGUCGGGGAGCAAAAGCCGGACGUGUCCGGCUGUGAGAGUACCCGAAGAAAAAGCAUCGGCUAACUCCGUGCCAGCAGCCGCGGUAAUACGUAGGGGGCAAGCGUUAUCCGGAUUUACUGGGUGUAAAGGGAGCGUAGACGGUUAUGUAAGUCUGGAGUGAAAGCCCGGGGCCCAACCCCGGGACUGCUUUGGAAACUGUGUAACUGGAGUACAGGAGGGGCAGGCGGAAUUGCUGGUGUAGCGGUGAAAUGCGUAGAUAUCAGGAGGAACACCGGCGGCGAAGGCGGCCUGCUGGACUGAAACUGACGUUGAGGCUCGAAAGCGUGGGGAGCAAACAGGAUUAGAUACCCCUGUAGUC